This 505-nucleotide ribosomal RNA is filed under the name uncultured bacterium. RNAcentral's name for it is "partial 16S ribosomal RNA". It matches the Rfam family "Bacterial small subunit ribosomal RNA", at positions 28 to 507 of the family's 1533-position model. The record is from RNAcentral.
GACGAACGCUGGCGGCGUGCCUAAUACAUGCAAGUAGAACGCACAGUUUAUACCGUAGCUUGCUACACCAUAGACUGUGAGUUGCGAACGGGUGAGUAACGCGUAGGUAACCUGCCUGGUAGCGGGGGAUAACUAUUGGUAACGAUAGCUAAUACCGCAUAAUAUUGAUUAUUGCAUGAUAAUUGAUUGAAAGAUGCUAUUGCCUCACUACCAGAUGGACCUGCGUUGUAUUAGCUAGUAGGUGAGGUAACGGCUCACCUAGGCGACGAUACAGAGCCGACCGGAGAGGGUGGUCAGCCACACUGGGACUGAGACACGGCCCAGACUCCUACGGGAGGCAGCAGGAGGGAAUCUUCGGCAAUGGACGAAAGUCUGACCGAGCAACGCCGCGUGAGUGAAGAAGGUUGUCGGAUCGGAAAGCUCUGUUGUAAGAGAAGAACGGGUGUGAGAGUGGAAAGUUCACACUGUGACGGUAUCUUACCAGAAAGGGACGGCUAACUACGUG